UUAAUUGAUGUAUAAAAUUAAACAUUUUUGCUUUAUGAAUUUAAUUAUUUAGAUUUGAACCUAUUAACAAAAACUGUUCUUCUACUUAUGUAUUUUAGGUUCUUGCUAUCAUCCUGCUUUUGCAUACGUGUUGGUACAAGUGCUUAACAAAUUUUCUCAUUACAGAUGUUUGUACUGUCGAAUUCCAAAAAAGAGGAUUGCCACAUGCUCACAUGUUGAUCUGGUUAAAACAAAAUUAUAAAUGUUAUUCAGCAGUUGAUAUAGAUUCUAUCAUUUAUGCUGAAUUACCGGACAAAACUGUAAAUUAUGAUCUUUAUGAUAUUGUGGCUCAAUUUAUGAUCCAUGGUCCAUGUGGACAAAUAAAUCCUCAUUCUCCAUGUAUGCGAGAAGGAAAAUGUUCUAAAUCUUUUCCCAAACAAUAUAAAAGCGAAACAAUUUUUGAAACAAAUGGUUACCCUGUAUACAAACGCCGUGACGAUCCAACAAAAUUUGUGAUAAAAAAUGGAAUGCAAAUUGAUAAUAGUUUUGUAGUACCUUACAAUUCUAAAUUACUACAGAGAUAUAAUGCUCAUAUAAAUGUUGAAUCCUGUUGUCAAUCAAUGCUUAUAAAAUAUCUUUUCAAAUAUAUAAACAAAGGUUCAGAUAGAGCUAGAGUAGUUUUCCAAGAGAACCAACAAGAUGAAAUACUUGCCUAUCUAAAUUGUAGAUACAUAUCUCCAUAUGAAGCUGUUUGGAGGUUGUUUCAAUAUCCUAUUCAUUUUAGAAAACCCUCAGUUGAACGAUUACCAAUACAUUUACCUUUAGAACAAAAUAUUAUUUUCAAUGGUGAUCAAUCGCUUCAAUCAAUUGUUAACCGAAAAAAUGUUGAAUCUACAAUGUUAACAAGUUGGUUUGAAGCUAAUAAAACUUUUCAUGAAGCACGAACAUUAACGUAUGCAGAAUUUCCUUCAAAAUUUGUGUGGGAUUCUCGCCCUAAAAUGUGGAAACCUAGAAAAAAAAAAAGGAUCCCUUGGUAGAAUAGCUUAUGUACAUCCUGCAUCUGGUGAAUUAUAUUAUUUAAGAAUGCUUUU
Long non-coding RNA from Prunus dulcis (almond), 1070 nucleotides. RefSeq lists it as uncharacterized. The record is from RefSeq and is a predicted model, not a curated record. The transcript is spliced from 2 exons. NCBI's taxonomy places the organism in Eukaryota, Viridiplantae, Streptophyta, Magnoliopsida, Rosales, Rosaceae.